Long non-coding RNA from Oreochromis aureus, 392 nucleotides. RefSeq lists it as uncharacterized. The record is from RefSeq and is a predicted model, not a curated record. The transcript is spliced from 3 exons. NCBI's taxonomy places the organism in Eukaryota, Metazoa, Chordata, Actinopteri, Cichliformes, Cichlidae.
AUGAAUGUAGAUGUUUGAGUAAAGUAGAGUUUCUAACAUCCUUCUCAGCCCAACACGGCGGCGUGUGACCCCGCCUCCAAGAAUCCCUGUCUCCUCUCUCUCGCGCGCUUUCUCGCUUUCUCCACCUCCGGCAGUCCUCUGAAAGCCAGACACUCGACCUCGCCUCCACUCCACCGCCACACUCCGUCAGCUGUAAACGCAUCAGUUUGUUUGGCUGCCACCGCGUAGGCUGUGAGAUUCCUGCACAGAAGCCACAGUAUGUUGGAAAGACCAGAGACCAAAACCUGAAGAGCUGGAAGAACUUUGGUUGCUGGCAUCACAAUAAACUGACACAAGUGGAAAAAUGUCCAAGUCUUCUAGCAUGAAUUAUGGAUCCCCGGGAUCUGCCCCCC